This 253-nucleotide ribosomal RNA is filed under the name uncultured bacterium. Its description in RNAcentral is "partial 16S ribosomal RNA". It matches the Rfam family "Bacterial small subunit ribosomal RNA", at positions 524 to 776 of the family's 1533-position model. The record is from RNAcentral.
UACGUAGGGGGCUAGCGUUGUUCGGAAUUACUGGGCGUAAAGCGCACGUAGGCGGACUGACAAGUCAGGGGUGAAAUCCCGGGGCUCAACCUCGGAACUGCCUCUGAUACUGUCAGUCUAGAGUCCGGAAGAGGUGGGUGGAAUUCCUAGUGUAGAGGUGAAAUUCGCAGAUAUUAGGAAGAACACCGGUGGCGAAGGCGGCCCACUGGUCCGGAACUGACGCUGAGGUGCGAAAGCGUGGGGAGCAAACAGG